Molecule: ribosomal RNA, 224 nt
Filed under: uncultured bacterium
Lineage: Bacteria
Description: partial 16S ribosomal RNA
Rfam family: Bacterial small subunit ribosomal RNA
Source: RNAcentral
AGUAACGCGUGGGUAACCUGCCUCAUACAGGGGGAUAACAGUUGAAAUGACUGCUAAUACCGCAUAAGCGCACAGUGCUGCAUGGCACAGUGUGAAAAACUCCGGUGGUAUGAGAUGGACUCGCGUCUGAUUAGGUAGUUGGUGGGGUAACGGCCUACCAAGCCGACGAUCAGUAGCCGACCUGAGAGGGUGACCGGCCACAUUGGGACUGAGACACGGCCCAA